UGCAAUGAACUGACUGACGGACUGAGAUUGUGAGCUCCCAGUGAGCAGGGACUGUGUCUCCUAAAUCGUUUGCCAAAGAGGGUGCUUGAGGGGGUGUGGUCUAGCGCUAGGCCAAAUUUGGGGUCAGCUGCCCCAAUCCGGCCUCCUGUGGGUGGACUGGAAGUGGAGCAGGGGUGAAGGACCAGCGUGGCACUGGGUAAGUGUUCGGGGAUUUGGCUGCCUGAGAGAAAGGGCAGAAGCCCAGCUUGUUUCUACCCUCUGGAGAAGCCUCCUAGACAAUCCUGUUCAAAGGUAAGCCCCUGGGGAAUUGCGGGGUGGGGUCUGCAGGGGCUGUGACUCUGGGGGAAACCCAGACUGCCUGGGGUGUCCUGCCUUGGGGUGACCAAGGCAGCCAGGGCCUCCCCUGCAGGGUGUGUGAAUGGCAGCUGCUCUGUUCUGUCCGAGGGGUCGCCCCUCAUCUCUGGCUCUUACUUGGGAUCUCGUUCUUUCCCUCACUUGCUUCCUCUUUUCCUCUUGUGCUCGCUCUCACUUCUGGGGUGAGUGAGCUUGCAGGGGACAGUCCAGCUGCAGCAUGGGGGCACAGAUGGGGCUGGGGCUGCAGCCCCCCCUGACCUGAGACCUGACAAGAUUUCUCCUUAGGGCCAAAGAAAGGGCCUGAGCCCCAGGUGCAUCCUGGAAGACCCUGACCCCCUGGUCCAACCCCGCCUCCCAAGGACGUGUUGGUGCAGACAGGACUGGACAGAACGGAAGCCCCAGCACAGCCCUGAACUGAACUCCUCGGCCCCGUGGACAGUGGAGGACUGACCGGCUACUCACCUGGGGUUAUGGACACUCAUAGAUUGAUUGCGUCGGCCCCACCAUGAGGGAAUCGGUUGGCACUGGGCUGCUGCCCCGUGGACACCCCUCCCCACCCCCAGCCUGCAACUGUAUCCCCCCCUUCCAGACAAUGCCAUUUCCUUUAGGAGUCAAGGGUCAAACCCUGCAUCAUGGGUGCCAAAUCAGUCUCUUGCAAAUCUAGGAGGCGAUGGAGGCGUGUGCGUGUAUGUGUGUCUGUUUCUUGUGUGAGAGCGAGGGUCGGGACAGGAGCAGGGCAAGAGGGGCUGCCCCUCUUUGGCGGGUAAAGGUUUCUGGAAACAGGGGUCUAGAGUCCUGGGCCCGUACUCCGUGGACCUCAAGACCGGGCGUGAAGUCGUGCCGGGGCUCUUAAUUCUAUAGUCAGCGUGUCUUACUUCCGCUCUGGUCCGUUGGGAGUUGUCGGGCCUGCUCUGGCUUCAGGAGUACAGACUCUCUUUCCCGCCUGAGGGGGCCACCCACGGGGAGCAAGGGACAGGAGUAGUGGGGUGUGUGUGUGUGUCUAUCUGUGUGUAUGUGUCACUACCCUAUGUCCUCCAUCCCUCCUGGAUGAGCAUAAGGGCGGGGGGGAGAGGACUAGCAGCAAAUUCUAAAGUGGGAAGAUGCAGAAUGGUUUCCCUCCCAUCCUACCAACAGAAAUGGCGUGGUCCAGCCCCCUCCUCUCCUCCUCCCCCUCCCUGUCCCCUUGGCUGCCUGGGCUCUGUGAGCCCAUCUACGUCUGUAUGGAAUAAAAUGGAUUUUUUUUUGUCUU
This is a long non-coding RNA of Tachyglossus aculeatus (Australian echidna), 1603 nucleotides long. RefSeq lists it as uncharacterized. The transcript is spliced from 2 exons. Lineage: Eukaryota; Metazoa; Chordata; Mammalia; Monotremata; Tachyglossidae. The record is from RefSeq and is a predicted model, not a curated record.